CGCCUGUUUAUCAAAAACAUGUCCUUUUGCUUAUUAAAUAUAAGGUCUAACCUGCCCAAUGAUUAUAAAUUUAAUGGCCGCGGUAUUUUAACUGUGCUAAGGUAGCAUAAUCAUUUGUCUUUUAAUUAAAGGCUAGAAUGAAUGGUUGGACGAGGUAUAAGCUUUCUUUAACUUAGUUGUUGAAUUUAAUUUUUUAGUCAAAAAGCUAAAAUUUAUUUGAGGGACGAGAAGACCCUAUAGAUCUUUAUAAAUGAUUUUAUUAUAUAUAUCAGUGAAUUAAUUAUUUUGAUAAGGCUAUUUAUUUGGUUGGGGUGACUGUAGAAAUUGAGUAACUUCUAUUUAUAUUUUUCAUUAAUUAAUGUUUAUUUGAUCCAUUUCUAGUGAUUAAAAGAUUAAGUUACCUUAGGGAUAACAGCGUAAUUUUUUCGGAGAGUUCUUAUCGAUGAAGGAGUUUGCGACCUCGAUGUUGGAUUAAAAUUAGUAGUAGGUGUAGCAGUUUAUUAACUAGGUCUGUUCGACCUUUAAUUUUUUACAUGAUCUGAGUUCAAACCGGAG
RNAcentral lists this ribosomal RNA (555 nucleotides) under Coranus callosus. RNAcentral's name for it is "partial 16S ribosomal RNA". It matches the Rfam family "Bacterial large subunit ribosomal RNA", at positions 1797 to 2621 of the family's 2925-position model. The record is from RNAcentral. Lineage: Eukaryota; Metazoa; Arthropoda; Insecta; Hemiptera; Reduviidae.